Non-coding RNA from Cinara cedri, 237 nucleotides. Lineage: Eukaryota; Metazoa; Arthropoda; Insecta; Hemiptera; Aphididae. The record is from the annotation of a GenBank genome assembly.
CGGCGGCGGCGGCAGCGGCGUCGUCCUCUCGAUUCAGAGCCGGGACGUGAACAAUAAUAUACGAACGCGGAAAUCCGGUAUCAAAAUAUUAUAAUAACAUAAAUAUAGAUAUAGAUAUAGGUGUAAUAAUAGAAUAUUCUUGUUAUUAUUGUUAUUAUUGUAUCACUUAACCUCCCGCAGUGGGGAUGACGCGAGCAUAUAUACAACCGUAGGAUAUCCGCGAUGUUGCCGCGGUAU